Molecule: unclassified non-coding RNA, 187 nt
Filed under: uncultured soil eukaryote
Lineage: Eukaryota
Description: sequence contains ITS2
Source: RNAcentral
UAUUCUCAACUCUCCAAUACUUUGUUGUAAAGGAGAGCUUGGAUUGUGGAGGUUUGCUGGCUCCUUACUUGGGGUCAGCUCCUCUGAAAUGUAUUGGCAGCACUUGUGUGGGCACACCUGCUUUGGAUGUGAUAGUUAUCUGCAUUCAAUUGGACUGCACUCUGCUGAUAAAAUAAAGCCUCAUUUG